AGAGCGAACGCUGGCGGCAGGCUUAACACAUGCAAGUCGAGCGGGCGUAGCAAUACGUCAGCGGCAGACGGGUGAGUAACGCGUGGGAACGUACCUUUUGGUUCGGAACAACACAGGGAAACUUGUGCUAAUACCGGAUAAGCCCUUACGGGGAAAGAUUUAUCGCCGAAAGAUCGGCCCGCGUCUGAUUAGCUAGUUGGUGGGGUAAUGGCCCACCAAGGCGACGAUCAGUAGCUGGUCUGAGAGGAUGAUCAGCCACAUUGGGACUGAGACACGGCCCAAACUCCUACGGGAGGCAGCAGUGGGGAAUAUUGGACAAUGGGCGCAAGCCUGAUCCAGCCAUGCCGCGUGAGUGAUGAAGGCCCUAGGGUUGUAAAGCUCUUUUGUGCGGGAAGAUAAUGACGGUACCGCAAGAAUAAGCCCCGGCUAACUUCGCGCCAGCAGCCGC
Molecule: ribosomal RNA, 448 nt
Filed under: uncultured bacterium
Lineage: Bacteria
Description: SSU rRNA
Rfam family: Bacterial small subunit ribosomal RNA
Source: RNAcentral